RNAcentral lists this ribosomal RNA (464 nucleotides) under Vreelandella stevensii. Its description in RNAcentral is "partial 16S ribosomal RNA". It matches the Rfam family "Bacterial small subunit ribosomal RNA", at positions 339 to 795 of the family's 1533-position model. Lineage: Bacteria; Pseudomonadati; Pseudomonadota; Gammaproteobacteria; Oceanospirillales; Halomonadaceae. The record is from RNAcentral.
CCACGGGAGGCAGCAGUGGGGAAUAUUGGUCAAUGGGCGAAAGCCUGAUCCAGCCAUGCCGCGUGUGUGAAGAAGGCCUUCGGGUUGUAAAGCACUUUCAGUGGGGAAGAAAGCCUUGGGGCUAAUACCCUCGAGGAAGGACAUCACCCACAGAAGAAGCACCGGCUAACUCCGUGCCAGCAGCCGCGGUAAUACGGAGGGUGCGAGCGUUAAUCGGAAUUACUGGGCGUAAAGCGCGCGUAGGCGGUCUGAUAAGCCGGUUGUGAAAGCCCCGGGCUCAACCUGGGAACGGCAUCCGGAACUGUCAGGCUAGAGUGCAGGAGAGGAAGGUAGAAUUCCCGGUGUAGCGGUGAAAUGCGUAGAGAUCGGGAGGAAUACCAGUGGCGAAGGCGGCCUUCUGGACUGACACUGACGCUGAGGUGCGAAAGCGUGGGUAGCAAACAGGAUUAGAUACCCGGGUAGUC